Molecule: ribosomal RNA, 253 nt
Filed under: uncultured bacterium
Lineage: Bacteria
Description: partial 16S ribosomal RNA
Rfam family: Bacterial small subunit ribosomal RNA
Source: RNAcentral
UACGAAGGGGGCUAGCGUUGCUCGGAAUUACUGGGCGUAAAGGGCGCGUAGGCGGUUCUAUAAGUCAGGCGUGAAAUUCCUGGGCUUAACCUGGGGGCUGCGUUUGAUACGUGCUGUCCGGAGUUCGGAAGAGGGUCGUGGAAUUCCCAGUGUAGAGGUGAAAUUCGUAGAUAUUGGGAAGAACACCGGUGGCGAAGGCGGCGACCUGGUCCGAUACUGACGCUGAGGCGCGAAAGCGUGGGGAGCAAACAGG